AGUUGAACUGCAACAGGAUCAGAGGGAUGGGAGAGGCAAUGUGAGAACAAGGUCAGGCAGAGGGCUCUUGCUGGAGAAGCUGAUUGGGCAGCAUUCUGGUCAGCCAGCUGUGACAGCUCAUCAAACAGCCAAGCCACAGACCACAGCAGAAAGGAGAACCAAGAGGAUGGAACCAUUCAGAGAGCUGAGGAUUUUUGCAAGCAGAAAAGCUAAUCGGAGCUGACAGCUGCUCCGUAGAGAAGAGGAUGAGACUGCGAGUUUGAAACCUUUCCUCUGGCCAAAGAAUGACUCAGCCCCACUUUCUUGAAAAAUAGGAAUUAAAGAGGUCAGAAAAAUAGGGAAGGACGCUUGCUUUCGGACAUGAAGAAGUGUUGAAGAUCACAACCAUGAAUCCACCAUGGUCUCCCUUGGGAAUGUGAAGAAUACUAUUCUGCUUUUGUUCCUACUUAUGAAUUAUGUCUAAUUAUGAUUUCUAGAAAUGGCAGGUUAUUUUAAAACUCUGUGAUGGACAAAUGUUGUGUGAAUCCAAUACAUGGCAAUUUUCAGAUGGCUGAGGAGGUGAGUACCUUACAGAGGCUUUUUUUUUGAAAUGUUUGACUUUCUUAAAUGGAGGUGCCCUCUCAUCCAGCCACAUCAACCUAAACCCUGAUUCGCACAGUGUUAAAUGCGUUCUGCCCCGUGUUAGUUUCCACAGAACGAAGCAGCUUUCUUCACUAACUGCUCUUGAAAUAAACUUCGAUAUAACAACCUGAUGACUCACAACACAUGAUUCAUUCUCUCCAGCAAAACAAAUGUUAUCAGAAAAUCUUGUGAUUCUUAUAAGCUCAAAUCCAGUCACAAAGCCAGCAUUGUUUCCUUUAAGUGAGUAUUGAAUUGGUUUAAUUAGCUUUUGCUAUCUCUAAAUCUUCUUUGUAGUAUUAAUAAAAAAUGUAACUAAGAAAACUUAUCAGUAUUGGGUUAGCAGGGGAAGAUAGCUAUGGUUUGGGUUUUGAAUUCCCAUUGACCAAGGUCUGAAAGGUUAGGCAGAGAGCCUCGCAUUGAUAGAAGACAGUGGAACUUUUAGGAGGAGGUUGUAGUACAGAAAUUUGGGUCAUUAAAGAGCAAGGCCUUGAGGUUGGUGUUGAAACUCUGGCCCAGUCCGUCCUUUUUUAACUUUCCUGACAUAUCUUAAGCCACAUCCUAGAAACAUAUUCAUAAACAUAUUCAUAAACAAUGAUAAGCCAAAGCCAGGGUGAUUGAAAAAUCACAAUCUCUUUUAACUUAGAAAAAUUACAUCAAAGCCAAAAAUUAGCAUUCUUACAUCUGUGCAUUGCCCAGCCAAUGUGCCUUGUGAGAAGACACUUCUUUCCUAUUUUGGGAAGGGCAGAAAUAUUAGAGAGUUUUUCUCUGAAGCUUCUGUAGUAUCUACUACUUAGCCACAAGUUAGCUCAAUCUGUUUGAUGAAUUAGCCUGUGUUCAGGAGAUUAGGGGAUCUGCCUAGUGAUAAGUGUGGGAACACUGAGUCCUGAGACACAGGGACAGUCAUGCUACUACUACUGGUCAUCAGAAUAUGUACCACAGGGUGGAGUUUCAUGCCUACCAUGACACUGUGUUCUACAUGAUCAGUUUUGCUCUGGCAUAGGAGACAGUUAAAAAUAUGAUUCUAUUACCCCUCAACAUCUAUCAAUGAUGGGAAUAAUGGGGGUAUUAUAGUUUUACAUUACUUUAAGUACACUCUUCCACUUGGAGCAGAUAUGAUACUGUCAGUGUUACUGAACUCAGGAAGACAUGAUGAAAGAGCUCUUUUUCCUUUCCCAAACAUCCACUGUGAAUGUUCAUUGUGAGGCUGCACACAUUAAGGAACACAUCAGGCAGUCAGAGAUGGGAUGGAUAGCAACUGUACAGAGUCAUUCCGAAGACAGUGAUUUCUUCAAGAUGCUCCAUCAGUAAAUGUCUCUGUGGUCAAAUAACUUUUGAAGACGUAACAUACAUUUCUAUUAUUAGACAUCUAUAAAAUGAAUAAACGUAUUUCCAACUCCAAGGAAGACAGUGAUAAAGAGCUGCUUAUAGCUUUGUAUCUUAUAUGCACACUGAACCACAAAAGUCAUUUUCUAUAGCUCCUGUAAUGUUCUACUGUUAAGGCUCCACCCACACUUCUAGAUAUACAAGUAAAGGGCAACUGACACAAUUACUUUUGAAGUGUUAAUCCUAGCAAUCCCUGAAAUAAUACAUAGUAUAGAAAAUAGAUGACUAGAACUCAAAUAUAUAUCACCAUCCAUAUAGCAUAUUGUAUAUACAUAUAUUCUUCUGAAUAUGAUUAGUAGCUUGUUUUCCCCAAAUUUUGAGGUAUUUCUAUCAUUUUGUAUAUGUUACGAGUGAUACAUUAUCUACUGUGUAAAAGAAAAUUUGCAUUCCUAUUAUAAAAACUAAAUUAAAAUUAUUAAAAAUUAGAUGGUUUAUCUAUGAAAAUAGUUUAAUAUUCAAAAUCACACUAAUUAUGACUUCUUUUCCUCCAUUUUUAGUGAUGAAUUAGAUAAUGUUUAUCUUCUUCCCUGACUAACCUUUGAACUUGACUAAGAUAGAGGCUGUAACUGGAUUUUUAUCUGCAUUCUCCUUGACAGAGCCCCUAAAACACAGACCGCCUUAUAUAUUUUUAUGUAAAUACCCCAUUAAUUUUAUUUAUCCCUGAAACACAGAACCAAAAUACUUCAAUAAUUGAUUUGAAGAUAUUAUCAAGACAUUAUUAAAAAAUCUUUGUCCUGUUUGCUGAAUUGCUCAUCCCAUCUCCAGUCUUGUUAUUCAACUCAAACUUGUCAUGGAACAAGGACAUUGGGAGAUCUUGUUCCUGACAGACUUUGUCAGUAUAUGCUGGCAUUUGAAUG
Molecule: non-coding RNA, 2861 nt
Organism: Rattus norvegicus (Norway rat)
Lineage: Eukaryota; Metazoa; Chordata; Mammalia; Rodentia; Muridae
Source: RefSeq, a predicted model, not a curated record